This 134-nucleotide small RNA is filed under the name Salmonella enterica. RNAcentral describes it as "RtT sRNA". It matches the Rfam family "RtT RNA". Rfam says of the family: This family represents a bacterial cis-regulatory element known as RtT RNA. The exact function of RtT is unknown although it is thought that it may be involved in changing the cellular response in relation to amino acid starvation. RNAcentral also lists the same sequence under 2 other names. The record is from RNAcentral. Lineage: Bacteria; Pseudomonadati; Pseudomonadota; Gammaproteobacteria; Enterobacterales; Enterobacteriaceae.
UGCAUCUGAAGUCUGAAGAGGAUGAGAACCUCCGGGGGAAAGAGGUUCGACCCGAGCGAAGCGAGAGAACGUUGCGUCAGCAACGGCCCGCAGGGCGAGCCACGCAGUGGCGAGUCAUCCUCUAUCACCGACCA